GGUGCCUUCGGGAACUCUGAGACAGGUGCUGCAUGGCUGUCGUCAGCUCGUGUUGUGAAAUGUUGGGUUAAGUCCCGCAACGAGCGCAACCCUUAUCCUUUGGUGCCAGCGCGUGAUGGCGGGAACUCAAAGGAGACUGCCGGUGAUAAACCGGAGGAAGGUGGGGAUGACGUCAAGUCAUCAUGGCCCUUACGAGUAGGGCUACACACGUGCUACAAUGGCGUAUACAAAGGGAAGCGACCCCGCGAGGGCAAGCGGAACUCAUAAAGUACGUCGUAGUCCGGAUUGGAGUCUGCAACUCGACUCCAUGAAGUCGGAAUCGCUAGUAAUCGUAGAUCAGAAUGCUACGGUGAAUAC
RNAcentral lists this ribosomal RNA (357 nucleotides) under uncultured Morganella sp. RNAcentral describes it as "bacterial SSU rRNA". It matches the Rfam family "Bacterial small subunit ribosomal RNA", at positions 1013 to 1369 of the family's 1533-position model. The record is from RNAcentral. Lineage: Bacteria; Pseudomonadati; Pseudomonadota; Gammaproteobacteria; Enterobacterales; Morganellaceae.